UUCCCACCAUAGUUAUGACGGCGGCGACCGUCAUGGUGAUGAUGAUGUGAAAAAAAAAAUAACGAUAAGGGAAAACCUUACCUGCGUCCGAUCUUAUCAACCGGCCCGGGUGAUCAUGCCCGGGCAAGUCUGGCUGUUAGGAAAAUGACCUGGCAGAUGUCAAGGCUCAGACCCUCCUCUGGAAAAAGCUUCCUGCCGACCUCUGAGCAAAUGGAUUUAUUGGAGCCACAACUGUCACUUGCCAGGUGAAUUUCAACUCA
RNAcentral lists this long non-coding RNA (260 nucleotides) under Felis catus (domestic cat). RNAcentral describes it as "lncRNA (ENSFCAG00000051717.1)". The record is from RNAcentral. Lineage: Eukaryota; Metazoa; Chordata; Mammalia; Carnivora; Felidae.